UAAUAGCGUAUAUUAAAGUUGUUGCAGUUAAAAAGCUCGUAGUUGGAUUUCGGGGCAGCCUGGCUGGUCCGCCGCAAGGCGAGUACUGGUCAGCCGCCCUUCCUCUCGAAAGCCCCGACUGCUCUUCGUUGCAGUGGUCGGGUAGUUCGGGACGUUUACUUUGAAAAAAUUAGAGUGUUCAAGGCAGGCCUACGCCUGAAUACAUUAGCAUGGAAUAAUGGAAGAGGACCUCGGUCCUAUUUUGUUGGUUUCCAGGGCCGAAGUAAUGAUUAAGAGGGACAGUUGGGGGCAUUCGUAUUUAAUUGUCAGAGGUGAAAUUCUCGGAUUUAUGAAAGACGAACAACUGCGAAAGCAUUUGCCAAGGAUGUUUUCAUUAA
RNAcentral lists this ribosomal RNA (377 nucleotides) under uncultured eukaryote. RNAcentral's name for it is "partial 18S ribosomal RNA". It matches the Rfam family "Eukaryotic small subunit ribosomal RNA", at positions 592 to 976 of the family's 1831-position model. The record is from RNAcentral.